This 554-nucleotide ribosomal RNA is filed under the name Paratrichodorus sp. st5_29. RNAcentral's name for it is "bacterial SSU rRNA". It matches the Rfam family "Eukaryotic small subunit ribosomal RNA", at positions 1077 to 1643 of the family's 1831-position model. The record is from RNAcentral. Lineage: Eukaryota; Metazoa; Nematoda; Enoplea; Triplonchida; Trichodoridae.
GGGCCAGCCCCCCGGGAAACCCUUUAAAUUUGGGUUCCCGGGGGAAGUUUGGUUCCAAAAGCUGAACUUAAAGGGAAUUGGACGGAAGGGCACCACCAAGGAGUGGAGCCUGCGGCUUAAUUUGACUCAACACGGGGAAACUCACCCGGCCCCGGACACUGUAAGGAUUGACAGAUUUGAUAGCUCUUUCUUGAUUCGGUGGGUGGUGGUGCAUGGCCGUUCUUAGUUGGUGGAGCGAUUUGUCUGGUUUAUUCCGAUAACGAACGAGACUCUAGCCUACUAAAUAGACAACACUUUCUUUGAGUGUUGCGCUUCUUAGAGGGACAAGCGACGUUUAGUUCGCACGAGAUUGAGCAAUAACAGGUCUGUGAUGGCCCUUAGAUGUUCGGGGCUGCACGCGCGCUACACUGAAAGCAUCAACAUGCAUAUCAACCUAACCUCGGAAGAGGCGGGUAACCCUUUGAAACGCUUUCGUGAUUUGGGAUUGUGAAUUGCAAUUAUUUCACAUGAAACGAAGGGAAUUCCCAGUAAGUCCGAGUCAUCAGCUCGGGUUG